GAUGAACGCUGGCGGCGUGCCUAAUACAUUCAAGUCGAGCGAACAGACGAUGAGCUUGCUGCGUCCACGUGAGCGGCGGACGGGUGAGUAACACGUAGAUCACCUACCUAUAAGACUGGUAUAACUUCGGGAAACCGGAGCUUAUACCGUAGAAUAUCUCGAACCGCAGUGUUCGAUAGAGAAAGAUGGCGUUGCUAUCACUUCUAGAUGCACCUGCGCCGUUUUAGCUAGUUGUGAGGGUAACGGCUUAUCAAGGCAACGAUACGUAGCCGACCUCGCAGGGUGAUAGGCGACAUGGGAGGGUGACCGGCGACAAGACGACUACGGGAGGCAGCAGUAGGGUAUGUUAGGCAACGGGCGAAAGUAUGACGGAGCAACGGCGCGUGAGUGACGACGGUCUUCGGAUCGUAAAACUCGGUUAUUAGGGAAGAACAACCGUGUAAGUAAAUGUGCACGUCUUGACGGUAACUAAUAAGAAAGCCACGGCUAACUACGUG
This 497-nucleotide ribosomal RNA is filed under the name uncultured bacterium. RNAcentral's name for it is "partial 16S ribosomal RNA". It matches the Rfam family "Bacterial small subunit ribosomal RNA", at positions 28 to 507 of the family's 1533-position model. The record is from RNAcentral.